Molecule: ribosomal RNA, 422 nt
Filed under: uncultured bacterium
Lineage: Bacteria
Description: bacterial SSU rRNA
Rfam family: Bacterial small subunit ribosomal RNA
Source: RNAcentral
UAAGGAAUAUUGGUCAAUGGACGCAAGUCUGAACCAGCCAUGCCGCGUGAAGGAUUAAGGCCCUCUGGGUUGUAAGCUUCUUUUAUCUGGGAAGAAAUGUACUUUUUCUUGAGUACUUGACGGUACCAGAGGAAUAAGCACCGGCUAACUCCGUGCCAGCAGCCGCGGUAAUACGGAGGGUGCAAGCGUUAUCCGGAUUCACUGGGUUUAAAGGGUGCGUGGGCGGACUAAUAAGUCAGUGGUGAAAGCCUGCAGCUUAACUGCAGAAUUGCCAUUGAUACUGUUAGUCUUGAGUACAGUUGAGGUAGGCGGAAUGUGUCAUGUAGCGGUGAAAUGCUUAGAUAUGACAUAGAACACCAAUUGCGAAGGCAGCUUACUACAUAUAAAUUGACGCUGAGGCACGAAAGCGUGGGGAUCAAACA